Molecule: ribosomal RNA, 156 nt
Filed under: Gamsylella lobata
Lineage: Eukaryota; Fungi; Ascomycota; Orbiliomycetes; Orbiliales; Orbiliaceae
Description: 5.8S ribosomal RNA
Rfam family: 5.8S ribosomal RNA
About the family: 5.8S ribosomal RNA (5.8S rRNA) is a component of the large subunit of the eukaryotic ribosome. It is transcribed by RNA polymerase I as part of the 45S precursor that also contains 18S and 28S rRNA.
Source: RNAcentral
AACUUUCAACAACGGAUCUCUUGGUUCUGGCAUCGAUGAAGAACGCAGCGAAAUGCGAUAAGUAAUGUGAAUUGCAGAAUUCAGUGAAUCAUCGAAUCUUUGAACGCACAUUGCGCCCUGUGGUAUUCCGCAGGGCAUGCCUGUUCGAGCGUCAUC